This 202-nucleotide long non-coding RNA is filed under the name Carica papaya (papaya). Its description in RNAcentral is "long non-coding RNA (CPAP_LNC001184)". Lineage: Eukaryota; Viridiplantae; Streptophyta; Magnoliopsida; Brassicales; Caricaceae. The record is from RNAcentral.
CAAGACUAUUAUAGAAAGUCACUUAUUUUAUUAUAAGAGUUUUACAUCAGAGUGCGGACAGACCAUGCACUCAACAUCCUUCUAAAGAUCUACGAAUGGGUCUAAAUGCACCUCAAUAAGUAACUCAUCAAGCUGGUCGUUGCUUUCAACAUCAACUGAGGGGACAUAGAUUAAGAUGAAUUCCAAAUACUCAGUAAAAAAA